Molecule: ribosomal RNA, 253 nt
Filed under: uncultured bacterium
Lineage: Bacteria
Description: partial 16S ribosomal RNA
Rfam family: Bacterial small subunit ribosomal RNA
Source: RNAcentral
UACGUAGGUGGCAAGCGUUAUCCGGAUUUACUGGGUGUAAAGGGCGUGUAGGCGGGAGAGCAAGUCAGACGUGAAAUUCCAGGGCUCAACCCUGGAACUGCGUUUGAAACUGUUCUUCUUGAGUGAUGGAGAGGCAGGCGGAAUUCCGUGUGUAGCGGUGAAAUGCGUAGAUAUACGGAGGAACACCAGUGGCGAAGGCGGCCUGCUGGACGUUAACUGACGCUGAGGCGCGAAAGCGUGGGGAGCAAACAGG